Molecule: ribosomal RNA, 253 nt
Filed under: uncultured bacterium
Lineage: Bacteria
Description: partial 16S ribosomal RNA
Rfam family: Bacterial small subunit ribosomal RNA
Source: RNAcentral
UACGGAAGGGGCGAGCGUUGUUCGGAAUCACUGGGCGUAAAGCGCGCGUAGGCGGCUUUGCAAGUGCGGCGUGAAAGUCCUGGGCUCAACCUGGGGACGGCGCUGCGGACUGCAUGGCUGGAGUCCGGAAGAGGGUGGUGGAAUUCCGAGUGUAGAGGUGAAAUUCGUAGAUAUUCGCAAGAACACCAGUGGCGAAGGCGGCUCACUGGCCCGUAACUGACGCUGAGGCACGAAAGCGUGGGGAGCAAACAGG